UGUUCAUAUAGUUUAUUAAAACACUAGACUGUGAAACUAGAGAUAGAGCCAUCUUAUGAACC
RNAcentral lists this transfer RNA (62 nucleotides) under Placosoma glabellum. RNAcentral describes it as "tRNA-His". It matches the Rfam family "tRNA". From Rfam's summary of the family: Transfer RNA (tRNA) molecules are approximately 80 nucleotides in length. The record is from RNAcentral. Lineage: Eukaryota; Metazoa; Chordata; Lepidosauria; Squamata; Gymnophthalmidae.